RNAcentral lists this ribosomal RNA (401 nucleotides) under uncultured bacterium. RNAcentral describes it as "bacterial SSU rRNA". It matches the Rfam family "Bacterial small subunit ribosomal RNA", at positions 29 to 431 of the family's 1533-position model. The record is from RNAcentral.
AUUAAACGCUGGCGGCAUGCCUUACACAUGCAAGUCGAACGGCAGCACGGGGGCAACCCUGGUGGCGAGUGGCGAACGGGUGAGUAAAGCAAUCGGAACGUGCCCUGGAGUGGGGGAUAACGUAGCGAAAGUUACGCUAAUACCGCAUAUUCUGUGAGCAGGAAAGCAGGGGAUCGCAAGACCUUGCGCUCUGGGAGCGGCCGAUGUCGGAUUAGCUAGUUGGUGGGGUAAAGGCCUACCAAGGCGACGAUCCGUAGCGGGUCUGAGAGGAUGAUCCGCCACACUGGGACUGAGACACGGCCCAGACUCCUACGGGAGGCAGCAGUGGGGAAUUUUGGACAAUGGGCGAAAGCCUGAUCCAGCCAUGCCGCGUGAGUGAAGAAGGCCUCGGGUUGUAAAGG